Molecule: ribosomal RNA, 426 nt
Filed under: uncultured Opitutus sp.
Lineage: Bacteria; Pseudomonadati; Verrucomicrobiota; Opitutia; Opitutales; Opitutaceae
Description: bacterial SSU rRNA
Rfam family: Bacterial small subunit ribosomal RNA
Source: RNAcentral
UUUCGAAUCAUUCACAAUGGGCGAAAGCCUGAUGGUGCGACGCCGCGUGAGGGAUGAAGGCCUUCGGGUUGUAAACCUCUGUCACCGGGGAAGAAACGCUGCAUGUAAACAGCAUGCAGCCUGACUUAACCCGGAGAGGAAGCAGUGGCUAACUCUGUGCCAGCAGCCGCGGUAAUACAGAGACUGCAAGCGUUAUUCGGAUUCACUGGGCGUAAAGGGUGCGCAGGCGGCCGUGUGUGUGAGGCGUGAAAGCCCGGGGCUUAACCCCGGAAUUGCACCUCAAACUACAUGGCUAGAGCAUUGGAGAGGGUAGCGGAAUUCACGGUGUAGCAGUGAAAUGCGUAGAUAUCGUGAGGAACACCAGAGGCGAAGGCGGCUACCUGGACAAUUGCUGACGCUCAGGCACGAAAGCGUGGGGAGCAAAAG